Molecule: ribosomal RNA, 253 nt
Filed under: uncultured prokaryote
Description: partial 16S ribosomal RNA
Rfam family: Bacterial small subunit ribosomal RNA
Source: RNAcentral
UACAGAGGAGGCAAGCGUUGCUCGGAAUCAUUGGGCUUAAAGAGCGUGUAGGCGGCUUGGUAAGUGUCGCGUGAAAUCCCAUGGCUCAACCAUGGAACUGCGCGGCAAACUGCCUGGCUUGAGGUCGGUAGAGGUGCCUGGAACUCUAGGUGGAGCGGUGAAAUGCGUAGAUAUCUAGAGGAACGCCGGAGGCGAAAGCGGGGCACUGGACCGAUUCUGACGCUGAGACGCGAAAGCGUGGGGAGCAAACAGG